This is a long non-coding RNA of Haliotis rubra (blacklip abalone), 97 nucleotides long. RefSeq lists it as uncharacterized. NCBI's taxonomy places the organism in Eukaryota, Metazoa, Mollusca, Gastropoda, Lepetellida, Haliotidae. The transcript has 3 exons. The record is from RefSeq and is a predicted model, not a curated record.
UCUAAUGUUUUUCAUUAUAUUACAAUAUGCAGUUUUGUCAUUUAGUAACGAAGGGAAACAUUUGUUGUGAAUGAAAGUCCGUGUAAAUUUUUAUUUA